GGGAUUUUAGCUCAGCUGGUUAGAGCGCUUCGUUCACAUCGAAGAGGUCGCUGGUUCGAAUCCAGUAAGUCCCACCA
Molecule: transfer RNA, 77 nt
Filed under: Clostridiales bacterium
Lineage: Bacteria; Bacillati; Bacillota; Clostridia; Eubacteriales
Description: tRNA-Val
Rfam family: tRNA
About the family: Transfer RNA (tRNA) molecules are approximately 80 nucleotides in length. Their secondary structure includes four short double-helical elements and three loops (D, anti-codon, and T loops). Further hydrogen bonds mediate the characteristic L-shaped molecular structure. tRNAs have two regions of fundamental functional importance: the anti-codon, which is responsible for specific mRNA codon recognition, and the 3' end, to which the tRNAs corresponding amino acid is attached (by aminoacyl-tRNA synthetases). tRNAs cope with the degeneracy of the genetic code in two manners: having more than one tRNA (with a specific anti-codon) for a particular amino acid; and 'wobble' base-pairing, i.e. permitting non-standard base-pairing at the 3rd anti-codon position.
Source: RNAcentral